GUGCUUGCUUUGGUAGCACUCACACUAAAAUUGGAACAAUACAGACAAGAUUAGCACAGUCCCUGCACAAGGAUGACAUACAAAUCGUGAAGCGUUCCAUAUUUUC
RNAcentral lists this small nuclear RNA (106 nucleotides) under Castor canadensis (American beaver). Lineage: Eukaryota; Metazoa; Chordata; Mammalia; Rodentia; Castoridae. The record is from RNAcentral.